This 62-nucleotide transfer RNA is filed under the name Agkistrodon contortrix (Copperhead). RNAcentral describes it as "tRNA-Lys". Lineage: Eukaryota; Metazoa; Chordata; Lepidosauria; Squamata; Viperidae. The record is from RNAcentral.
CACUAAGAAGCUUUUAUAGCAUCAGCCUUUUAAGCCGAAGAAGAAAACACUUUCCUUAGUGA